AGCAGCCGCGGUAAUUCCAGCUCCAAUAGCGUAUAUUAAAGUUGUUGCAGUUAAAAAGCUCGUAGUUGAAUUUCGGGGUCAAUUUACUGGUCGUGCCUACGGUACGUACUGGUAUUGUUGAUUCCUCUCUUCUGAGGAGCCACGAUGUCAUUAAUUUGAUGUCGUGGGGAAUCAGGACUGUUACUUUGAAAAAUUAGAGUGUUUAAAGCAGGCUAACGCUUGAAUACAUUAGCAUGGAAUAAUGAAAUAGGACGUUUGACUCUAUUUUGUUGGUUUCUAGGAUCGACGUAAUGAUUAAUAGGGAUAGUUGGGGGCAUUAGUAUUCAAUUGUCAGAGGUGAAAUUCUUGGAUUUAUUGAAGACUAACUACUGCGAAAGCAUUUGCCAAGGAUGUUUUACAUU
This 401-nucleotide ribosomal RNA is filed under the name uncultured Glomeromycotina. RNAcentral's name for it is "SSU rRNA". It matches the Rfam family "Eukaryotic small subunit ribosomal RNA", at positions 569 to 974 of the family's 1831-position model. The record is from RNAcentral. Lineage: Eukaryota; Fungi; Glomeromycota.